CUGGUGGGAAGAGCGCAUUUAUUAGACCAAGACCAAUCAGGCCCUGCCUGUGAUUUGGUGACUCUGAAUAACUUUGCUGAUCACAUGGUCCUAGUACUGGUGACAUAUCUUUCAAGUGUCUGCCCUAUCAACUUUCGAUGGUAGUUUAUGUGCCUACCAUGGUUGUAACGGGUAACGGAGAAUAAGGGUUCGACUCCGGAGAGGGAGCCUGAGAAAUGGCUACCACAUCCAAGGAAGGCAGCAGGCGCGCAAAUUACCCACUCUCAGCUCGAGGAGGUAGUGAAGAAAAAUAACGAGACGGUUCUCUAUGAGGCCCGUCAUCGGAAUGGGUACAAUUUAAACCCUUUAAUGAGGAUCUAUUGGAGGGCAAGUCUGGUGCCAGCAGCCGCGGUAAUUCCAGCUCCAGUAGCGUAUGCCAACCUUGUUGCUGUUAAAAAGCUCGUAGUUGGAUCUUUUCCGAGGAUGGAGUCUGUCCAAUGGAUACGUACUCUAUUCCAAGGAUACUUCAGUUGGUCUUCUCAUGGUGCUCUUCACUGGGUGCCUUGGGUGGCUAGCACGUUUACUUUGAAAAAAUUAGAGUGCUCAAGACAGGCGUUACUGCCCGAAUAGUGGUGCAUGGAAUAAUAGAAUAGGAUCUCGGUUCUAUUUUGUUGGUUUUAGGAGCGUGAGAUAAUGGUUAAUAGGGACAGACGGGGGCAUUCGUAUUGUGGUGUUAGA
This 717-nucleotide ribosomal RNA is filed under the name Pseudochromadora obesa. RNAcentral's name for it is "SSU rRNA". It matches the Rfam family "Eukaryotic small subunit ribosomal RNA", at positions 189 to 909 of the family's 1831-position model. The record is from RNAcentral. Lineage: Eukaryota; Metazoa; Nematoda; Chromadorea; Desmodorida; Desmodoridae.